UACCAGCACCCCGAGUGGUCGGGACGAUUAUUGGGCCUAAAGCAUCCGUAGCCGGCCUUACAAGUCCUCCGUUAAAUCCAGCUGCUUAACAGAUGGGCUGCGGAGGAUACUAUAAGACUAGGAGGCAGGAGAGGCAAGCGGUACUCAGUGGGUAGGGGUAAAGUCCGUUGAUCCAUUGAAGACCACCAGUGGCGAAGGCGGCUUGCCAGAAUGCGCUCGACGGUGAGGGAUGAAAGCUGGGGGAGCAAACCGG
RNAcentral lists this ribosomal RNA (253 nucleotides) under uncultured bacterium. Its description in RNAcentral is "partial 16S ribosomal RNA". It matches the Rfam family "Archaeal small subunit ribosomal RNA", at positions 474 to 727 of the family's 1478-position model. The record is from RNAcentral.